This 72-nucleotide transfer RNA is filed under the name Cotesia glomerata. Its description in RNAcentral is "tRNA-Thr". Lineage: Eukaryota; Metazoa; Arthropoda; Insecta; Hymenoptera; Braconidae. The record is from RNAcentral.
GCCGGGUAGCUCAAAUGGUAGAGUAGCCGACGUGUCCUCAGGAGGUUAUGAGUUCGAAUCCCAGUCCGAGCG